UUAAUUUUUAAGUAUUAUAAUUAUUCAUUAGUUAGUGUCUCAAUUUUAAGAAUUAUUUUACUUAAUCUAAUUUCAUUAAAUUAAAUGAUACCAAUGGAGCAAAAUGAAGUUAAGAAAGAAACUUCUCUCUAUAUUCUCUAUUUUCUACUCUCUCUCUCUAAUCUUUAUUUUUAUCUUCCCCUCUCUCUGUUCAAUCCACGGCUCUCUCCUCCAUUAAACACAAUAAAA
This 228-nucleotide unclassified non-coding RNA is filed under the name Hevea brasiliensis (rubber tree). The record is from RNAcentral. Lineage: Eukaryota; Viridiplantae; Streptophyta; Magnoliopsida; Malpighiales; Euphorbiaceae.